GAGGGUAUAGCUCAGUGGUAGCGCACGUGCUUAGCAUACACAAGGUCCUGGGUUCAAUCCCCAAUACCUCCC
RNAcentral lists this transfer RNA (72 nucleotides) under Camelus bactrianus (Bactrian camel). It matches the Rfam family "tRNA". Rfam says of the family: Transfer RNA (tRNA) molecules are approximately 80 nucleotides in length. Their secondary structure includes four short double-helical elements and three loops (D, anti-codon, and T loops). Lineage: Eukaryota; Metazoa; Chordata; Mammalia; Artiodactyla; Camelidae. RNAcentral also lists the same sequence under 2 other names. The record is from Rfam by way of RNAcentral.